UUAAAAGAACAACUUUUCAACAAACAGAGUAUAACCAAAAUAGGUAAUCACACACAAUAACCAACAAACAGAGUAUAACCAAAUUAGGUAUUCACAGACAACACCAGAUGCUCACAUAUACAGAGUCAGAUAAUCACAUACAAUACCGAAGAUAAGGACAGAGUUACCCUCCUUCUUCGCGACCGGAGAAGAUCGGCCUUCAAACAACAGAGAAACCCUAGGUAUUAAACCCUAGGUGUAACCUUGGAAGUGGUUAGGAACGUCGGAGAGGCACCCAAAACGUCCACUGAGUGAGAAUCGAGCCACCGAAAGCAGUAGAACCCUAGGUUAAACGACCAGAAACCCUAGACGCCGAUAGGUCACCGAGAAACCACCCAAUAUCAGCAUAAAAACUCUCAGGAUGUUCGGGUGAAGAGAAUAUACUCAAAUAUCAUGACGAAAAACUCGGAAAAUCAUCCGAUCUAGGUCUAAACCAUCAUCGACCAUAAGGUCUCAGAAAAGCCCUAGAAAAUCUCAAAAAGAGUUCAACCAAGACAACGAGAUGUAGAGAAAUAUAAUCGGAUCGUCGUCUAGGCUCUGAUACCAUGUAAACGUUGAUAUUAGACCGAGAAAUCAUAGAAACUGUAGAGAGAGAAAAUAGAGCGUUUGGAACUCGCUGGAAUCAGAGAGAAAUAUUAUUACAGAACAAAUGAGAG
RNAcentral lists this long non-coding RNA (695 nucleotides) under Nicotiana benthamiana. RNAcentral describes it as "long non-coding RNA (NBEN_LNC014411)". The record is from RNAcentral. Lineage: Eukaryota; Viridiplantae; Streptophyta; Magnoliopsida; Solanales; Solanaceae.